AUCAACUUUCGAUGGUAGGAUAGAGGCCUACCAUGGUGGUAACGGGUAACGGGGUGUUAGGGCACGACACCGGAGAGGGAGCCUGAGAAACGGCUACCACAUCCAAGGAUGGCAGCAGGCGCGCAAAUUACCCAAUCCCGACACGGGGAGGUAGUGACAAUAAAUAACAAUACGGGGUUCUUUCGGAUCUCGUAAUUGGAAUGAGUACAAUUUAAAUCUCUUAACGAGGAACAAUUGGAGGGCAAGUCUGGUGCCAGCAGCCGCGGUAAUUCCAGCUCCAAUAGCGUAUAUUAAAGUUGUUGCAGUUAAAAAGCUCGUAGUUKAAUUUCGGGGUUAGUAGGUUGGUCAUGCCUCUGGUAUGUACUGGUCUCACUGAUUCCUCCUUCCUGAUGAACCGUAAUGCCAUUAAUUUGGUGUUGCGGGGAAUUUGGACUGUUACUUUGAAAAAAUUAGAGUGUUUAAAGCAAGCUAACGCUUGAAUACAUUAGCAUGGAAUAAUGAAAUAGGACGUUCGAUCCUAUUUUGUUGGUUUCUAGGAUUGACGUAAUGAUUAAUAGGGAUAGUUGGGGGCAUUAGUAUUCAAUUGUCAGAGGUGAAAUUCUUGGAUUUAUUGAAGACUAACUACUGCGAAAGCAUUUGCCAAGGAUGUUUUCAUUAAUCAAGAACGAAAGUUAGGGGAUCGAAGACGAUCAGAUACCGUCGUAGUCUUAACCAUAAACUAUGCCGACUAGGGAUCGGAUGAUGUUAAUUUUUUAAUGACUCAUUCGGCGCCUUACGGGAAACCAAAGUGUUUGGGUUC
RNAcentral lists this ribosomal RNA (799 nucleotides) under uncultured fungus. Its description in RNAcentral is "SSU rRNA". It matches the Rfam family "Eukaryotic small subunit ribosomal RNA", at positions 316 to 1125 of the family's 1831-position model. The record is from RNAcentral. Lineage: Eukaryota; Fungi.